RNAcentral lists this unclassified non-coding RNA (240 nucleotides) under soil metagenome. RNAcentral describes it as "partial contains 5.8S ribosomal RNA, internal transcribed spacer 2, and large subunit ribosomal RNA". The record is from RNAcentral.
AACCAUAGAAACCUGCGGAGUACCUGCGGAGGGAUCAUUACAGAGUUGCAAAACUCCCUAAACCAUUGUGAACGUUACCUAAACCGUUGCUUCGGCGGGCGGCCCGGGUCCUUCCCGGCGCCCCUCGGCCCUCGCGGGCGCCCGCCGGAGGUAAACCAAACUAUUGCAUUGUAUGGCCUCUCUGAGUCUUCUGUACUGAAUAGGUCAAAACUUUCAACAAUGGAUCUCAGAUCGGAAGAG